Molecule: ribosomal RNA, 504 nt
Filed under: Bacillaceae bacterium CL1.93
Lineage: Bacteria; Bacillati; Bacillota; Bacilli; Caryophanales; Bacillaceae
Description: bacterial SSU rRNA
Rfam family: Bacterial small subunit ribosomal RNA
Source: RNAcentral
UCCCUGGCUCAGGAUGAACGCUGGCGGCGUGCCUAAUACAUGCAAGUCGAGCGAAUGGAUUAAGAGCUUGCUCUUAUGAAGUUAGCGGCGGACGGGUGAGUAACACGUGGGUAACCUACCCAUAAGACUGGGAUAACUCCGGGAAACCGGGGCUAAUACCGGAUAAUAUUUUGAACUGCAUAGUUCGAAAUUGAAAGGCGGCUUCGGCUGUCACUUAUGGAUGGACCCGCGUCGCAUUAGCUAGUUGGUGAGGUAACGGCUCACCAAGGCAACGAUGCGUAGCCGACCUGAGAGGGUGAUCGGCCACACUGGGACUGAGACACGGCCCAGACUCCUACGGGAGGCAGCAGUAGGGAAUCUUCCGCAAUGGACGAAAGUCUGACGGAGCAACGCCGCGUGAGUGAUGAAGGCUUUCGGGUCGUAAAACUCUGUUGUUAGGGAAGAACAAGUGCUAGUUGAAUAAGCUGGCACCUUGACGGUACCUAACCAGAAAGCCACGGCUAA